This 253-nucleotide ribosomal RNA is filed under the name uncultured bacterium. RNAcentral's name for it is "partial 16S ribosomal RNA". It matches the Rfam family "Bacterial small subunit ribosomal RNA", at positions 524 to 776 of the family's 1533-position model. The record is from RNAcentral.
UACGUAGGGACCGAGCGUUGUCCGGAAUCAUUGGGCGUAAAGAGCGUGUAGGCGGCUUGCUAAGUCUUGCGUGAAAUCUCGGGGCUCAACCCCGAGCGGUCGUGGGAAACUGGCAGGCUAGAGUGCGGGAGAGGAGAAUGGAAUUCCUGGUGUAGCGGUGAAAUGCGCAGAUAUCAGGAAGAACACCCGUGGCGAAGGCGGCUCACUGGCCCGAUACUGACGCUGAGGUGCGAAAGCGUGGGGAGCAAACAGG